RNAcentral lists this ribosomal RNA (639 nucleotides) under uncultured bacterium. RNAcentral's name for it is "bacterial SSU rRNA". It matches the Rfam family "Bacterial small subunit ribosomal RNA", at positions 232 to 885 of the family's 1533-position model. The record is from RNAcentral.
CGCGGCCUAUCAGCUUGUUGGUGGGGUAAUGGCCUACCAAGGCGUCGACGGGUAGCUGGUCUGAGAGGAUGAUCAGCCACACUGGGACUGAGACACGGCCCAGACUCCUACGGGAGGCAGCAGUGGGGAAUCUUGCGCAAUGGGCGAAAGCCUGACGCAGCAACGCCGCGUGCGGGAAGAAGGCCUUCGGGUUGUAAACCGCUUUCAGCAGGAACGAAAAUGACGGUACCUGCAGAAGAAGGUGCGGCCAACUACGUGCCAGCAGCCGCGGUGACACGUAGGCACCAAGCGUUGUCCGGAUUUAUUGGGCGUAAAGAGCUCGUAGGCGGUUCAGUAAGUCGGGUGUGAAAACUCUGGGCUCAACCCAGAGCCGCCACCCGAUACUGCUGUGACUAGAGUCCGGUAGGGGAGUGGGGAAUUCCUAGUGUAGCGGUGAAAUGCGCAGAUAUUAGGAGGAACACCGGUGGCGAAGGCGCCACUCUGGGCCGGAACUGACGCUGAGGAGCGAAAGCGUGGGUAGCAAACAGGAUUAGAUACCCUGGUAGUCCACGCCGUAAACGUUGGGCACUAGGUGUGGGCCUCAACCAACGAGGUCCGUGCCGUCGCUAACGCAUUAAGUGCCCCGCCUGGGGAGUACGG